CAUGGUAGGAGAAAUUAGAGAAGAUUUUCCACAGUCAUCAGGGACCCAAAGGAAAUAAGGAUGAGACAUCACUGGACAGUCAUUCCCGACAUGAGUGGAAUUAGAACUUAAUUCUCCUGAACUAGUACUCUGUCUCUGUGAGUGGGCCUGGAAGAUAGAAACAAUAUUGCAGAGAUAACUAAACAGCAGUCCAAAUGUAAUUUUAAGAGCUGUUAAGAAUUUGGGAUCCAGUCUUGAGACUGAAUACCCUUCAGGAUUGAAGGUCUGGGGAGUGGCGUCAGAGUAGCAGGAGUCCGUCUGCUUAGAUCCUCUUCCUAAUAGGCAGGAUACUAGAUGUACAAUGUCAGUUAUACAUCCACCUUCUAAAAUGGAAGUCUUUUUUCGGCGAUUUGCUUCUUUUGUCUCUUAGCUCUCGCCUCCAUUUUAGCAUCACCAAAGUGCCUAAAGUUAGCAGGAGCUGUUUGCUCCCACACUGAAAACCUGCUCUCUUUGCUGCUGGACUAGGUGGUAAAGAGUACUGGAUUGUAGUGGGAGCCUGGGGCUGAACUCAUAGGUAUCCUAAGUUUUGUCCCUUCCUCCAAUUGUUAGAUCGUCUGAGGAGGCCAAAAACGUUUGGAACCCAGAUUAGAGCUGGGAAGAGGGAGCUCACAGAAGCGUCAGCCCUGUGGGAGAUUGGAUUAUGAUCCAAAAAUGGGGUAGGGACACAAUGAACGGUGUGGAGCAAGGAAUCUUCCCCAGCCUUGGGGUGCUGGUUGGGGCCUUUGCUGUCACUCAAAACAGGGCCUGGAGCUGCCUGUUUGGAGCAGUGUGCUGAAAGGCAAAGCACCAUUGUCCCCAUGUUGGGUGAGGAUACGCACCCUUGAAAGUGCCAGUUCCUAGGUUGAUGGUAAUUGGAAGAGCUCUUGGGGUAACUUUGAAGAAGCCAGAGAAUAGAUUAGAAAACACACAAUUGGAAAUUUCUUGUCUUUUGGGAUAAGACAAGGGGGAAAGGGAAUUACUGCUGUUUACUGGACCCAUGAGCCUUGGCUUUGUGGAUUGUUAGAUGAUACCCUUCUUCCUAGCCAUUGUUUCCCCUUUCACUUGCCUUAGGUCUGGUGAUACCUUAAAGGAAAAAUAAGUGAGGCAGAGGAGGGAAGGGCAAAACCAGAGUGAGCAAAGAAGAAACCAAGAUGAGAUUAUAGACAGAAGAAAAUGUUAGAGAAGUUUAGCUACAGCAAUAGAGAUGGGUAACUAGGGAAAAAAUCGAUUUAGAUAGAGACUAUCUGAAAGAAAAGACAGAUGAACAUUGAGGAAAGGACAGAGGCUAAGAAGAGGGAAAAGGCAGUGGCAGAAACUUAUAGGAAAACCAGAGACAAAGGAGGAAAAACUAAACCUCCUUCCCUCUCUCUCUACUUUCCUUCUUUACUCCCUCCUUUUCUUCUGAGUGUCUACCACAUGCCAAGUCCUAGCUAGGUACUGAGGAUGGAAGAUGAGCAAGACUCAUUCCCUGCUCUAGAGGAGCUCAUAUGUAGUGGGGAGAUAAUGAUGUGGCUGACUGUAGAGAACGAGGGCGAGAAAUUGGUUUCCAAGGACUGCUUUUUCUAUGUGUAGGUAAGAGGGGGCUAAGAAAGUGGAGACCCUCAGAAUGAGUUUUGGAGUUCCCUUUGUAACUGCUGUCGGGCUAAGGGUGGAAGGCCAGCUGCUAUCUGAGGAUUCAGACCCUCCUUGUAGCUUCUUUUUGGGUGGUAACUAGGGUGGUGUUUUACAGGUAGUGGCCGAGAGUCUGCAGUGAGUCAGGAAUAGGAUGCUCCCUGGGUCCCCAGUGCCGCACGCACAGGCACAGCGGGAGGGGUGACGUUCUCCCCUCUCCUCUCCCUGAAGUACCUGUGCGCUGCUGUGAGUUCUCCAGCUGCAACUUACCUUGGGCUCUCUCUUGGCCUUCAUGCUACAUGCAAAAGGGAGGAAAAGGAAGUUGUGGGAAAUUUGGAAAAUACAAAAUGAACAAACAUCCUUAUCCCCAAAUAACAAAAAAAGACAAAUUUUGGCGUUCAAUUUAUGGGUCUCUGAAGUCCAGGAAGCCCAACGACCAGAGAAUGAAUAAUCCUCUUGCAGGAGAAGAGAGCACCAGUGUUAAGGGUGGGUUAAGAGUCUUUGUGGAGGCUGGGGGUGGGACGGAACACAAGGCUCCUUCAUCAUCACCCCUUGAUGAGAGAACCUCUUUAGGGGAGAUGCUUUUGUGCAGAUACUUAAAAACUUCCGUACCCUUAUAGGUGCAGGAAACAGAGAGUUCCCAGAAUGUGGGGCCUCUGAGGGAAUUGUGGUUUGUUAUGUGUCUAGGUUUGGGUUUGUAAAGCAGGCAUUGAAGAGUAGCUGUGAGUUUCCAGAAUUUGAGAGGAACAGGGUUGGUAGGUUAUGAGUGGAUCUGGGAGACCUUUCCUACACGGUCUGUUUCGAAGGUAUGGGCAGCUGUUGAAGCUACUUGAGGGAGGGGCUUAAGGUGGCCUGGCCGGAGGUCAAAAGAACCUGGAACUAACGCAGGGGUUAGAUGGACACUGUAACCCCGAGACAAAAGCCAGGUGAAGGACAUUGGCUCUAUUUCUGUCAUUUUGCCAAACAUUUUGAAGAAUGGUGUGCCAAGGUCCUGUAAUGACGGACAGUGCUGUAAGUUGCAUGGAUAUCUUCAUUGGAACAACAGUACCACCACAUUUUUCUCAUUUGCCAUGGGCCAUUGAAAACUUUCACAAAAUUGCCACGGUCCUUGGACAGCAUUUCGUUUCCUCCGAUCUAGCCCAGCUCUGCUGCCUCAGCGACAGUGGCACAAAGUCACAGAAGCUUCCACAUUUUUGCUUCUUUGAGGAGAUGGCCAAGGGAAGAGUUCUGGGUUGUAGAGAAUAUGACUGGAAACUUCAUGGUGAUUCUGAAAUCUCUGGCUUAUGGACAGAUUAGGGGUUCUCACCCUGCUUUCCCCUCUGAAGGUGUUUCUUUAUGGCCAUUUAGCAAAUUUCCCAGCAUCUUCAUUUUUGAUAAAGUUUGGGACUUUGUUUUCCGGCUCUCAUAUUUCCCUUUUGGUGUGUGUACUGCCUUUUCUAAGAUGUUUUUGGCUCUCCUCCCAACUAACUUUCAGCUGUUCUUUGGGAAAAGGCCAGAUAAUUCACAACUGUGAUGAAAAAACCCAACCCCAAACAGAAAAAUCCUGCAUGUCUUACCAUUUCUGGCAUCUGGUUUUGUUUUGUUUUGUUUUCCUUUAGUGGUGUUUAGUUUCUGGACCCCAAAGCCUGCAAUUCUAAUGGCCUACUUUCUGGUGUCCUUGCGUGAGAAUAAUGCUUGGAGAGUGCAGCCAUAAAUAGCGUGAUGGGCCCCAGUCCGCAGCUCUGAUGGUCCCCGCACAUCUGUUGUUCGAUUUUAAAGAGAACUGCUUAUGGAAAGGGCUGGCCAUUGAGUUCUCCGUGGAUAGCUAGCAAGGACUCUGAUUUCAAAAUGGAAAAUGUUUGAUGUGAAGAUGUUUUGAACAAGGAACAAAAAGCCUGUGUUCUAGUCCUGGCACUGCCGUUACUAGCCGUGUGAACUUCGGCAUAUCUCCAAAUUUCUUUGGGUUGCGGUUUCCUGAUGGGUAGAAUGAGGAUAUGAAUGCCUACCUCACAGAGUUGUUGUGAGAAUUAAAUGUGCUCUGUAAUCUGUCAUAUUAUAUAAAUAUUUGCAAAUUUUUAUGGUUUAAGAGCCGUUUAAAAAUAUUCCCUGGCCACAUAGCAGACGCGCUGACUUUUCUACCCUCAGGUCAAGGGUUUUCACGGUCAGGUAUUGCAUAUUUAAAUUGCUGGAGCCAAAUUUUAUGUUUUUAUGUAAAUAUUUUUGUGCGGAGAGGGGUCCAUCAGCUUUCUUCAGUUUCUUUGAGGAAAAACCUAAAAAGGUAAAAACCAGUGCUUCAGAGUUGAAAAGUUGGAUUCAGUAACAGGAAUAAAUUUAUUGCUUCCAAUAAGUCCCUCUUAAUAUGUCCGCAGUAGCAGUUGCAUCGGUUUUCGCAUGGUGAAAUCCUCAAUGUGGCCUGAUGACGGUACAGACUGUUUGAAAUUGAAACAGAGAAUCUUGGACGUACAGUCAUGGUAGCCAUUCGGUUAUCCAAUUGCCUACAGUGUGAAGGUGGGCGUAAAAGAAAUGAUUAACUAUAUGGACCUAAGAGAGUCACCUGACCUCGUGGAGUCUGUUACUUUUUGGGAAAGGGAGGGAUUUUGACCCUGAAGAUUUCCGAAGUCCCUAGUUUGAAUUUCCUAGGGAAGUGAGAGAAAAGCUGGAUUCGGCUGGAGCCUGGUUGUGGCAGAAACUAUCCAGGCUUUGUGUAGGAGGAGAAAGAGGGAGAAUAAGAGCAAGGAGGAGGGGCAGAGCAUCCAAGGAGCCUCGUCCUUGAUCAAGAUAGGCGACGCGAGCCUGCUGAGGGGAAGAGCCAGGGUGACAAGGGCAGGAAGAGAGCGGAUAGGCUACUUCUUAAGAUCCACCUGGGGGACCAGAGACUCUGCUUCCACCUUUCACGCUGGGACUGGCUUGCCAGAACACAAGCUGUCUCUCAGUGAGCGAACACGCCGUCUUCCUUGCACUCAGAGAAGUUCUAGUUCUCACAGGAGUACAUGCCUGGGGUCUUCCCACGUUCCCCGUCAGGUGAUUUGCCUACUUCAGGAAAAUGCCGCCCUGCAAAUGCCUCAAGAAACAAGUAAGUCUUAGGGCUGUUGAGGCUGUUUGAAGGGGUUAAGAGAACCUCAUAUCUGUACCUUGGGAUGGAUUGGAAUCCCUACCCCUUCAUGAGGAAUUUUAAGCAAAAAAUCCUUGUGUGUGUGUGUGUGUGUGUGUUUUAAAGAUUCACUCUGAGCUAACAUCCAUUGUGAAGCUUUUUUUUUCCCUCCCCAAAGCCCCAGUUCAUAGUUGUAUAUUCUAGUUGUAGUUCCUUCUAGUUCUUCUAUGUGAGCCACCACCACAGCAUGGCUACUGACAGCUGAGUGCUCUAGGUCCGAAAUGGGGAACCAAACCCGGGCCACCAGAGCAGAGCAUGCCAAACUUUAACUGUUAGGCCGUCAGGGCUGGCUCAAAAAAUCUUUAUUUUUUAAAACUACUAUCAAUACAUUAUUAACUAAAGUCCAGGUUUGCAUUAGGGUUCGUUAGUUUUUUUUUUUUAAAUUGGGUUGAAGCUUUUUGUGUGUGUAGAAUGACUGGCUCAUCAUAUGGUAGGUUCAUAUUUAACUGCCAAAAAAACUAUGCAACAGUUUUCCACAGUGGUGGCCCCAUUUUAUAUUCCCACUGCCAGUGUAUGAGCAUUCUAUACUCACCAACACUUGAUGCAGUCUCUUUAACUUCUAUCCACUCUAACAGAGACUGGAAGACUUGGCUCCUUGGUUUGGAAGCGGCACUGGCUGAGACUUGGUUCUUUGGAAAUAGACAAGGUCCCAUUCCAGGAGGAUUUUCAAGUAGAAGAUGAAUGGACAUCAACUAGGGACACUGAGAAUAAGGGCUUCAUGAUACAAUGUUUGGCUGUCUCUUGAUGGGGAAGGGCAAGUGUGCUCUUGUGGUCAAGUAGGGGAGAGGUGGGUUCUGUCAUGUGGAAGUUUCUUUGAAAUUGCGAAUUUCCACUCAUGGAACAAUGGUGCCAUUAUAAGCUCAGCACCAAGGAAUGUAAAUGUCGCAUUAAAACCUUCUUGAGGUAUCUGCCGUCUCACAAUAUAUAUGCUUCAAAGUGAUGCUACUGCAUUAUAAUAAAGUAUCCUUUUGAUGACAUAUGAUCUGACAGAGCAUUUAUGUGUACGAAACAUCUUUCAAAGACAACACAAAUUGAAU
This 5796-nucleotide long non-coding RNA is filed under the name Equus asinus (donkey). Its description in RNAcentral is "lncRNA (ENSEASG00005037441.1)". The record is from RNAcentral. Lineage: Eukaryota; Metazoa; Chordata; Mammalia; Perissodactyla; Equidae.